CGCCGCCCCCGCCCGCCUACGGGACGCAGCAGUUGGGAAUAUUGGGCAAUGGUGGAAACGCUGACCCAGCCAUGCCGCGUGCAGGAAGAAGGCGCUCAGCGUUGUAAACUGCUUUUGCCGGGGAAGAAUGGGGGUUACGCGUAACCUCAUCGACGGUACCCGGUGAAUGAGCACCGGCUAACUCCGUGCCAGCAGCCGCGGUAAUACGGAGGGUGCAAGCGUUGUCCGGAUUUAUUGGGUUUAAAGGGUGCGUAGGUGGCUUGUUAAGUCCGGGGUGAAAGGCAGUGGCUCAACCACUUGCAGGGCCCCGGAUACUGACAGGCUCGAGUGUAGGUGAGGCCGGUGGAACGGGUGGUGUAGCGGUGAAAUGCAUAGAUACCAUCCAGAACACCGAUUGCGGAGGCAGCCGGCUAACCUACUACUGACACUGAGGCACGAAAGCGUGGGGAGCAAACAGGAUUAGAUACUCUGGUAGUCCACGCUGUAAACGAUGCGAACUCGCUGUUGGUGAAUUUUCAUCAGCGGCUUAGCGAAAGCGUUAAGUUCGCCACCUGGGGAGUACGCCGGCAACGGUGAAACUCAAAGGAAUUGACGGAAUCG
This 600-nucleotide ribosomal RNA is filed under the name uncultured bacterium. RNAcentral describes it as "bacterial SSU rRNA". It matches the Rfam family "Bacterial small subunit ribosomal RNA", at positions 322 to 921 of the family's 1533-position model. The record is from RNAcentral.